Molecule: ribosomal RNA, 491 nt
Filed under: uncultured bacterium
Lineage: Bacteria
Description: bacterial SSU rRNA
Rfam family: Bacterial small subunit ribosomal RNA
Source: RNAcentral
GAUGAACGUUGGCGGCGUGCCUAAUACAUGCAAGUCGAACGGAGAUUGUAGCAAUACGGUCUCAGUGGCGAACGGGUGAGUAACGCGUUGGUGACCUGCCCCGAAGUGUGGAAUAACAGAUCGAAAGAGCUGCUAAUACCGCAUAAUAUCCAGGAGAUUAGAUGCUUCUGGAUUAAAGGAUUUAUCCGCUUCGGGAGGGGCCUGCGUCCCAUCAGCUAGUUGGUAAGGUAAAGGCUUACCAAGGCGAUGACGGGUAGGGGACCUGAGAGGGUGGCCCCCCACAAUGGAACUGAAACACGGUCCAUACACCUACGGGUGGCAGCAGUAGGGAAUAUUAGUAAUGGGCGAAAGCCUGAACUAGCAACGCCGCGUGUGCGAAGAAGGCCUUCGGGUUGUAAAGCACUUUUAUAUGUGAGCAGUGCUUUCUAUGUGAACAGCAUGGGGAGAGAGAUAUUAGCAUAUGAAUAAGCAACGGCUAACUCCGUGCCAGC